This 952-nucleotide long non-coding RNA is filed under the name Homo sapiens (human). Its description in RNAcentral is "HSALNT0345550". The record is from RNAcentral. Lineage: Eukaryota; Metazoa; Chordata; Mammalia; Primates; Hominidae.
GGGAGGGCAAAGAGCCACUGUGACAGCCUUUUUGGGUAUCUGCACUUGGUGGCUCCUGAAUUCUUGUCCAGUGCCCAAGAAGAAUGAGGUCAUGCAGACAAAUCAAAGGAUGUCAAGUCACCUCUUUCUGACGUCCAGCCACUGUCUCUGAAGUCAAGUCACCUCUUUCUGAUGUCCAGCUGCUUCUCUGAAGUCAAGUCACCUCUCCCUGUGAUCCAGCCACUUCUCUGAAGUCAAGUCACCUCUCCCCGACAUCCAGCCAUGUCUCUGAAGUCAGGAACUUACAGUCCUGUUUAAAGACACGAAGAGAAAAACGAGAUGCCAAACCACAGUGGGAGUUUAGAGAAGACUGUGAUGAGAGUUGGAGCAUUCUUGGGGAGUCUUUGCUGCAGAGAUGGGACUUUAUGCAUCAGUACAUUCUUAAAGUGUCUACGCUGCCCCGGGAUGCUGAGCCCCUGGACACCACAGGUGGCAUUUCAGCUAUGAGUGAGGGGGGGCAUUUGGAAGGGGAGCCCCGAAGGGGAAGACAAUGGCUCAGAGAGAAUGAAGUCAGCACUUCCCAGCCUCUGUGUGCUGCGGUCCAAGGCUUCGGCCGGGAGCACUGCAGAGCAAAAGUUCUGAGAGCCACGGCUCAGGCUUAACUGGCCAGAGCGAGCUUGGCAGCUGCUCUCGUCCCAGCAGGCUUUGCUCUCUGAGGCAGUCAUUCCCACCACACAAAGGCAGUUCUGUGCCUCCCAAAGGUGCUUGGGGCAGGAAUGAAGAGCGGAACAGCCCCCAUCAAUCCAAUAGGAUUGUCGUUUUACGCUGGCGUGGAGCCUCAGACAUCAAAAGGGCUGGAGAGUGAAGCCACGUGUGAGCCGUGAAGUUGGUGACCCUGAGGCACAGAAAGCUGAGGGAAUUUGUUCGAAGUCACACAGCUGUGGAAAAGCAUUUGGGAGGAAGUGGAACCAAA